UCUCUUUUCAAUAUUUCCUUUUGACUUGUCGGAUCCAAAAGCCCGAGAGUAUUGUGACCAAAUCAAAGUAAUGGGACCUCUCAACUCCCAUUUCAAACCCUUCUUUAAUCAAUUUGGUUCUCUUGGUCGUUGAACAUAUUUAAGAACACAACCCACCAGAAUCCCCUUCCAUUAUUACAUCUGUUAAACCCAACUCGAUCCCUGUAAGCACGACUUCGAAACAGGCGAGGGCUUCUAUAUCAAAUGUCGUGCCAACUACCGUGUGCAAACGGGACUUAGAGACCAGAACUUCUCCUUUCGCAUUUCGUACCACAAUCCCUGAAGCCGACUUAAAACCUUGGCAGUUGAAUGAGGCAUCAAAAUUGAUUUUAAUAAUCUGCUCUUCAGGUGAUUUCCAGUUCUCUUUCUCACCAACAAAGGUAGUCUUUUUAUCUGUGAAACAACCAAGUUCACGAAUGUAGUUUUUGGUGAAAUUAGCUACUCUUAUUCCUGAAUGGGUUUUCCCUUCAUGCAAGUUCCUAUUUUUGUCUAACCAAAUUGACCACAAGCUACAACCAAACAAGCGCCAUUGGGACUCCCUGCAACUUCCAAAUACCCAGGACAUUCACCAAAAACAUGCCAUGAAGUCUCAAUUCCCACCUUAUAUCAGGGGCAGUUGUUGCUUUGAGUCAAUCUUUUGGCAUACAAGUUGACCAUCGUGGGUAUGAAACACUCUCCAUAUCAUUAUCUUAAUUUUAUUAGGCAGUUGUAAAUCCCACAAUUGUUUGUAGAAUUGUUUUGUUGUAAUCUGUAAAUCAUUAAAAUUAGGGGUAAUGCUCUGAAUCUAUAAUAGUUUAUAAGCUUUUCUUACCGAGAACA
This is an RNA transcript of Gossypium raimondii (Peruvian cotton), 858 nucleotides long. RefSeq lists it as uncharacterized. The record is from RefSeq and is a predicted model, not a curated record. The transcript is spliced from 3 exons. Lineage: Eukaryota; Viridiplantae; Streptophyta; Magnoliopsida; Malvales; Malvaceae.